ACAAUGUUCCAGUUUAUUCUGCUCGGAGCUUGCCUGAUAAGUGCAAGUUUUGCCGAAUCGCCCACGACCAGUACAAGUUCCUCCUCCAGCUCGCCCCCAGACUCAGAGAGAAAACCUACUGUCCCCAAAAAAGUUGAAAUAACCUAUUGUUAUCACGACAAAAAGAAAAUCGAAAUCGGAGCAAAGGUCUACAGGGGAUGCGAGGAAUGCACAUGCACGACCAAGCCCAUGUACAGCUUUAUCUCACCUCAAGGACGACUGGCAUGCAGCGAGGGUACUUUCUGUUGUCUGUUCAUUGACAACGAAGGUAAAACUCAGCGAGCUUACACCGGUGACAAAUACAGUGAUGGUUGUAACACAUGUACAUGUAAAAAGGACAUGACUAAGGAUGACUGCACCCAGCAAAAAUGUAAGAACAUGUGUCGGUACAGGACUUGGGAAAAUGUCGUGAAUUAUACCAAACCGGGAAAAGUUGAUGCGAUGGACGAGGACUGUUCCAAAAAGUGCUGUUCCAAAAAGUGCAGGUGCAAGCGAUCAGGAGAACUUAAGUGCACAGGACGCUGCGCACAACCUUGGUUACUUGGUUAGGUUAAUAAUCUUAAGGCGGGCGAAUUAGUAAUACUAAAUAGCCCUGUGUUAAAGUUUAAACCAAGUUUGAGUUGAUAGGUAGUAAAACAAAAACAAUCUCUCUUAUAAUUAUAAAGUAUGAAUAAUUUUCUUAAAUGUUAAAAAGAAUGAACAAUUUAAAAUAUGUCUUAAGUGGCACAGUCACAAAUAUGUUAUAAAGUUUUUUCAAGCAUGGAAUAUGAAAUGUAUGGUAAAAAAUGUAAUAUCGAUUUACUACAACCAUA
Bolinopsis microptera is the source of this 851-nucleotide long non-coding RNA. RefSeq lists it as uncharacterized. The record is from RefSeq and is a predicted model, not a curated record. The transcript has 2 exons. Lineage: Eukaryota; Metazoa; Ctenophora; Tentaculata; Lobata; Bolinopsidae.